GACGUAGGGCGCGAGCGUUGUCCGGAUUUAUUGGGCGUAAAGCGCUCGCAGGUGGUUCGUUGCGUCGUGCGUGAAAGACCCCGGCUCAACUGGGGAGUGUCGUGCGAUACGGGCGAACUGGAGGCCAGUAGGGGGAUGCGGAAUUCCGGGUGUAGUGGUGGAAUGCGUAGAGAUCCGGAGGAACACCAGCGGCGAAGGCGGCAUCCUGGACUGGUCCUGACACUCAGGAGCGAAAGCGUGGGGAGCGAUCCGG
Molecule: ribosomal RNA, 253 nt
Filed under: uncultured bacterium
Lineage: Bacteria
Description: partial 16S ribosomal RNA
Rfam family: Bacterial small subunit ribosomal RNA
Source: RNAcentral